UACGUGCAUUCGAUGGACUCCAUCUCUAAGUAAGAGAUACAUAUUCCUAAAUCUCUAAUACCCUAGCCUACUAUAAAAUAGAUUUCAUCCUUAAAACCCUAAUGUAGUAUAGAACCCGAUAAGCCGAUGUGGUGCCUGCAACACAGUUUUAUUCACAUCACCAUUGUUUAACCAUUUCAUCUCAAUGGCAACUCGUUUUGGAGCGUCUUCUUUUUCGAGGACCGCGAGGACUGCAUUCAAUUCAUUCAGAAAUUCUUCUUCUUCGGCAUCACAGACAAGCAGAACCCCUCGCAGAGUGAAAAAUAUGUUUGAAAAUGGCAGUCCGAGUAUGAACAGGAGAAGGCUUGCGGAAACAAUGAUUCCUCUUCACAAUGCGGCCGCGUGUGCAAAGCUGGUGACUCACCUGAGUGCCAGCUCCCGCAGUUGCCGCGCGCUCGCUAGCGGUACCCUCUGCUGGUUUAGCCACCUGGUGAACUAUACCUUGGGAAUCAAGAAGGUGGUAAUGACAACUAAUGUUGAAGGAUCGAUACAGUCUGUUAUUGCGAAUGGGCAGGGUAUUAGUUGUGAUAACAGCUGGGUGGAGACCAUCUCUCCCAAACCAUUUCCCAUAAUUACUGAAAAGAUAUACCUGCAAUAGAAAUCAUGAAGAUGGCAGUGCAGAAGUCUGUCCAACUUUGCACAAGUUGCUCUUGUUGGAGGAUUGCAAAAAGUCGAAAUCCAGGAGUUUUAUUAUCAUCAACUUUGUUUUCUCCACACUGACCUGAAGUAUGGAUGCUCUGAAAAGCAUCUAUUAGGUCUGAGAUAUUGAAUAGGGUUAAUUUUAUGACAAUUUGUCCAGUUAGAAUAACUCCCUUUGUCUUCUAUCCAACACGUGUUGUGUUUGCAUGCUUAUUAUUCCUAAAACCUCUGAACGUGAAAUGGGAAUUCUGAAGUUCAGGAAAGGUUAGGUAAUCUAUCCUUGCUACUGUGAAUGAGAUGAUUAAAAUUAAUUUAUUUUAAAAUUAUUGUUGGCUA
Molecule: RNA transcript, 1014 nt
Organism: Cryptomeria japonica (Japanese cedar)
Lineage: Eukaryota; Viridiplantae; Streptophyta; Pinopsida; Cupressales; Cupressaceae
Exons: 3
Source: RefSeq, a predicted model, not a curated record